UACGAAGGUGGCAAGCGUUGUUCGGAUUUACUGGGCGUACAGGGUGCGUAGGCGGUUGGAUAAGCCCUCCGUGAAAUCUCCAGGCUUAACCUGGAAAGUGCAGAGGGGACUGUUCAGCUAGAGGAUGGGAGAGGAGCGCGGAAUUCCCGGUGUAGCGGUGAAAUGCGUAGAGAUCGGGAGGAAGGCCGGUGGCGAAGGCGGCGCUCUGGAACAUUUCUGACGCUGAGGCUCGAAAGCGUGGGGAGCAAACAGG
RNAcentral lists this ribosomal RNA (253 nucleotides) under uncultured bacterium. RNAcentral's name for it is "partial 16S ribosomal RNA". It matches the Rfam family "Bacterial small subunit ribosomal RNA", at positions 524 to 776 of the family's 1533-position model. The record is from RNAcentral.